AUUGAACGCUGGCGGCAUGCUUUACACAUGCAAGUCGAACGGUAACAGGCCUUCGGGUGCUGACGAGUGGCGAACGGGUGAGUAAUGCAUCGGAACGUGCCCAGAGGUGGGGGAUAACGCAGCGAAAGCUGUGCUAAUACCGCAUGUGAUCUGAGGAUGAAAGCGGGGGACCAGGCAGCAAUGUUUGGCCUCGCGCCUUUGGAGCGGCCGAUGUCAGAUUAGGUAGUUGGUGGGGUAAAGGCCUACCAAGCCGACGAUCUGUAGCUGGUCUGAGAGGACGACCAGCCACACUGGGACUGAGCCACGGCCCAGACUCCUACGGGAGGCAGCAGUGUGGAAUUUUGGACAAUGGGCGCAAGCCUGAUCCAGCAAUGCCGCGUGCGGGAAGAAGGCCUUCGGGUUGUAAACCGCUUUUGUACGGAACGAAAAGGCUCUGGCUAAUACCUGGGGCUGAUGACGGUACCGUAAGAAUAAGCACCGGCUAACUACGUG
Molecule: ribosomal RNA, 492 nt
Filed under: uncultured bacterium
Lineage: Bacteria
Description: partial 16S ribosomal RNA
Rfam family: Bacterial small subunit ribosomal RNA
Source: RNAcentral